AACGUACUCCCUCAGUCUGAAAAUAGUUGUCAUCAAAAUGGAUAAAAAGAGAUGUAUCUAGAACUAAAAUACAUCUAGAUACGUCCCCUUUUAUCUAGUUUGAUGUCAAGUAUUUCCGGACGGAGGGAGCAUGUA
Triticum aestivum (bread wheat) is the source of this 135-nucleotide non-coding RNA. NCBI's taxonomy places the organism in Eukaryota, Viridiplantae, Streptophyta, Magnoliopsida, Poales, Poaceae. The record is from Rfam.